RNAcentral lists this ribosomal RNA (478 nucleotides) under uncultured bacterium. RNAcentral's name for it is "partial 16S ribosomal RNA". It matches the Rfam family "Bacterial small subunit ribosomal RNA", at positions 28 to 523 of the family's 1533-position model. The record is from RNAcentral.
GAUGAACGCUGACAGAAUGCUUAACACAUGCAAGUCUACUUGAAGCACUUUCGGGUGUGGAUGGUGGCGGACGGGUGAGUAACGCGUAAAUAACUUGCCCCCUAGUCUGGGACAACUGUUGGAAACGACAGCUAAUACUAGAUAUUAUGAAGCUUCGGCAUCAAGGUUUUAUGAAAGCUAUAUGCGCUAGGGGAGAGAUUUGCGCGCUAUUAGCUAGUUGGUGAGGUAAUGGCUCACCAAGGCGACGAUAGGUAGCCGGCCUGAGAGGGUGAACGGCCACAAGGGGACUGAGACACGGCCCUUACUCCUACGGGAGGCAGCAGUGGGGAAUAUUGGACAAUGGACCAAAAGUCUGAUCCAGCAAUUCUGUGUGCUUGAUGAAGGCCUUCGGGUUGUAAAGAGCUUUAAGUAGGGAAGAAGAAAGUGACGGUACCUACAGAAUAAGCGACGGCUAAAUACGUGCCAGCAGCCGCGGUAA